This 532-nucleotide ribosomal RNA is filed under the name uncultured bacterium. Its description in RNAcentral is "bacterial SSU rRNA". It matches the Rfam family "Bacterial small subunit ribosomal RNA", at positions 355 to 896 of the family's 1533-position model. The record is from RNAcentral.
UGGGGAAUAUUGCACAAUGGACGGAAGUCUGAUGCAGCAACGCCGCGUGCGGGAUGACGGCCUUCGGGUUGUAAACCGCUUUCAAUUGUGACGAAGCUUUUUGUGACGGUAGCAGUAGAAGAAGCACCGGCUAACUACGUGCCAGCAGCCGCGGUGAUACGUAGGGUGCGAGCGUUGUCCGGAUUUAUUGGGCGUAAAGAGCUUGUAGGUGGUUUGUCGCGUCGGGAGUGAAAACUCAGGGCUUAACUCUGAGCUUGCUUUCGAUACGGGCUGACUUGAGGGAGGUAGGGGAGAAUGGAAUUCCUGGUGGAGCGGUGGAAUGCGCAGAUAUCAGGAGGAACACCGGUGGCGAAGGCGGUUCUCUGGACCUUUCCUGACGCUGAGAAGCGAAAGCGUGGGGAGCGAACAGGCUUAGAUACCCUGGUAGUCCACGCUGUAAACGGUGGGUACUAGGUGUGGGGGACAUUCCACGUUCUCCGUGCCGUAGCUAACGCAUUAAGUACCCCGCCUGGGGAGUACGGCCGCAAGGCUA